UACGUAGGGUCCGAGCGUUGUCCGGAAUUACUGGGCGUAAAGAGCUCGUAGGUGGUUUGUCGCGUUGUUCGUGAAAACUCACAGCUCAACUGUGGGCGUGCGGGCGAUACGGGCAGACUGGAGUACUGCAGGGGAGACUGGAAUUCCUGGUGUAGCGGUGGAAUGCGCAGAUAUCAGGAGGAACACCGGUGGCGAAGGCGGGUCUCUGGGCAGUAACUGACGCUGAGUUGCGAAAGUGUGGGGAGCAAACGGG
Molecule: ribosomal RNA, 253 nt
Filed under: uncultured bacterium
Lineage: Bacteria
Description: partial 16S ribosomal RNA
Rfam family: Bacterial small subunit ribosomal RNA
Source: RNAcentral